Molecule: long non-coding RNA, 3059 nt
Organism: Rhinopithecus roxellana (golden snub-nosed monkey)
Lineage: Eukaryota; Metazoa; Chordata; Mammalia; Primates; Cercopithecidae
Exons: 4
Source: RefSeq, a predicted model, not a curated record
GCCAGCACACUGUUCCCACAGAAAGACUUCAAACCACUAAGCAGGACCCCUUCUUCCAUGGGAAGUAAUGAAGGGGCAACCAAGGUCUGCCCUGUGUCUCAGGAAUACCCCAACGUGAAAGCAAGCAAGCUGGCAGGAGGGAGUCUGGAGGAGAAUAUUCCCAGGGGCUCACAGCACCCCAGAGAGCCAACAGAAGACUAAGUUGAACCUCAUGACACUCCCAUUUUUUUUUGUGGCUGAAAACCUGUUAUCAAUUUCACAUGAUUCAAUCUAACAAGAAAUAAAACAGGAUAUCCUGAAAGGGCAGAGAAACAUCAGUGAACACUGAAAAUAUGGCAGGAAAAGUAAAAUGUUCGAUACAAAGGUGGAAAAUACAGUCAAGAAUCUCCUUGAGAAAGUGUAAGAAAGAACAGGGAGACGGGCAGGAAGGGAAAGAAAGGAAAGUUGAAGGAUUAAUCCAGAAAAGCCUACAUCUGACUAAUAUGUUUUCCAGAACGAAAAAACAACUCAGAAAAUGGUAGAAAACUUAUCAAAUGAAUAGGGGCCCAAUUCCCCUAAAAGUGAAGGGCAGGUGUUUUCAGACUGAAGGGGCCACCAGGUGCCCAGGACGGUGGAUGAAGAAAAGCUCCAGGCGUAAGGAAGGGAACCUGGAGAUUUCUAAGAGAAAAAAGAAGGUCAGAAAGCAAGGGCUGGGGUCAGCAUGUCUGGUGAACCUGUCAGUGACGGCAAUGGGGGCUGGAAGACGGGGGGUUCUGAAGAGAAGGUGUUUCCACGUCCGCAUUGCCUCAGGCGGGAGCAGAAUCCAGACACCACUUUGCACUUGUAAGCUUGCAGCACGCACCUCCCCUAACUCAGGAAGCUACUAGGAGACAGAUUCCACCACAGGAGUGGUAAACAGGGGUCUAGACUGCUAGGGCUGUGUUGAGGGCAAGAGAGGCGGGGGACUCCCAGCACCGUGGUGACAGGUGCUCUGGGGCAAAGCUGCGCAGUGGGCAGAGUGAGGCUGAUGGUGUGAAGAAAGGGGUGGGGUGGGGCAGGGUGCCGACCACAGUGCAGGGAAGGAAGAACUUGGUCGGAAAUGUAAAGAGGAAGAGAUGAGAUGUGUUUACUCACCCGGGAAAAAACAAGAUGUUUCUACUGAGGGUGCAUAAUUAAAGUUUCUUUCUUGGCUGGAAAGUGAAGGGCAGGAGUGUGGCCAGUAUAACUGAGGGGCAGGAGGGUGGGCAAUGGUGGGGUGGGAGGGAGCCAGGUCCCCUCUUCCAUAAGAGGAGUACAGCUGAUGAUGUUAAGAUGAUGAACCAAGAAACAUGAACAUACACAGAGGUGUCCAGGACAGGACCCCUCCCCUGCCCCCUUGGAGUGAAAAGGCGCCUGAGUCAUGAGGAUGGCACCCAAGAGCCUUUUGUUGUGCUGAGCGACUCUAGAAACCAGCAGAUAGAAGAGAGUUCAGACCCCAGUCAGUGUGCGGAACUUAAUGUGUUCUAGCGGCGGAUACUCACCCACAUUCGUGAUGUACAGGGGCAGCCAGAAGAGGAAAGUAUAGCUGACCAGCUUGGCGAACAGCAGACACAGCGAGAACUCUAUCACGCCCUGAAAGAGAGAGUGGUUGGGCGUCUUCUCCAAAUGUGGAGUCAGCAGAAGCGGAUGGCACUUGUGAGAUAAAAAUUCCAGAGGCCAUCUGAAAAUUCAGAGUGAGAAAUCCAGUAACACUGUGGUGCUGAAUCCCCUGGCUGUCUGUGCACUGAAAAUCAACCAAAACGGGGGGCGGGGGAACCCAGCGUUCCACUUCGCCAAGUCAUUCUAAAAUGAAAUGAGUUGAUGUCUUCACAACUGAUGAGGAUGUGUGCGUGUAAUUUACUGUAUGCCUUUCACGGGCCUGGCAUUGUGCUUAGCAGUCAUUAAAUGACCUCACCUCAUCCUCAGAACAACGUACGGUAUUACCCCAGGGAUGGAGCCCAUGUGACAGACGAGGACAUGGAGGCUCGGAGUGUGCCACACUUGCCCGGAACACUCAGCUUGGUGGUGGCAGGGGGAGGCUUGAGCCAGGCCUCUGAAGCCCAUACUGUCUAUAACUCCACUAUAUAAAAACCUGUAUUUUUAUAACUAGUGUGCACCCUACUUUAGUACAAGUAUUUGGGGGUAGCUACAGAGGAAGGUAUAGCAGAAAAGGUCACUAGUUGUUACUAAGGACACAAUUAAAAACAAAUCUUUGGACUUAAACCUAGCAGCUUCCACACGCCGGCAUGCACAGCCCUUUCCCCAUGAGCUAGUGUCCAGCCUGGGCUGGGACGUUCUCCUCUGGCUGAACACUGGCUCCAGGGUCUGCCUCUGCAGGCCCAGUUUCUCCUGGGCACUGGAAUACUUUCUGUUCUGAAGUCCAGGUUCUCCCCAGUCUUUAAUUUCUGUGAUAUGAUUUUGAGGUCUGGGUUGCACUGCUUAUGCUUCCAGCCCUGACCUGCUGAGGGGCCUCGGGCCUGUGCCCCUGACCCUCUGCCUUUCUCUAGGUCGUGUCAGCAAGUGAGAGCUGUGUCUGCUCCCUAGUGCUCUGGCUGUCAGUGCUGGAGGGCACGGCCUGGAUAGUCCCCCCGGACAGCCUGCCCAGCCCACAUGGCAGGGUCUGGUCUCCCUCCUGUGCCCCUGCUCUCGGCUCUCUGCCCCCAUCGGAAGAACACAGCCUCUCCACACCCUGCGCACGGCUCCUUAGAUUCUCUGCUGAGGGAGUCCAUGAAUGUAAUAAAAACUGAAAAAGCAGCAAGAAAUCUCCUUACAGUGCCCGUCCCGCUCAUCUGCUCCAAGUCAGCUCGUCCUCAAGACUGAUCACCCACUGCGGGUCAUGGUGGUGCCCUUCUAGUCUGGAGGCAAGGCCAGCAGUGCCAGCGAGGACCAGUCCGGUCCAGAUUCUGACUCCAAGGCUUCCCCCGCCUGUGCUGCUGGUUCUUCCCUUGGUCCCUGCAUCCUCCCUCUCACUCUUGGCAUCCUCUGUUCACCACGCACGGGCAAUCAGACCAUAGGCUGUGGCACUGAAGGCACUUUUUUUUUUUUUUGAGACCAAGUCUCCC